AAGAGAUUGUGGUUACUCACCGUU
Molecule: microRNA, 24 nt
Filed under: Prunus persica (peach)
Lineage: Eukaryota; Viridiplantae; Streptophyta; Magnoliopsida; Rosales; Rosaceae
Description: microRNA miRNA_76
Source: RNAcentral